ACGCACGCUGGCGGCGUGCUUAACGCCUGCCAGUCGCACGGAAAGGCCCUGCUUUUGUGGGGUGCUCGAGUGGCGAACGGGUGAGUAACACGUGAGUAACCUGCCCUUGACUUUGGGAUAACUUCAGGAAACUGGGGCUAAUACCGGAUAGGAGCUCCUGCUGCAUGGUGGGGGUUGGAAAGUUUCGGCGGUUGGGGAUGGACUCGCGGCUUAUCAGCUUGUUGGUGGGGUAGUGGCUUACCAAGGCUUUGACGGGUAGCCGGCCUGAGAGGGUGACCGGCCACAUUGGGACUGAGAUACGGCCCAGACUCCUACGGGAGGCAGCAGUGGGGAAUAUUGCACAAUGGGCGGAAGCCUGAUGCAGCAACGCCGCGUGCGGGAUGACGGCCUUCGGGUUGUAAACCGCUUUCGCCUGUGACGAAGCGUGAGUGACGGUAAUGGGUAAAGAAGCACCGGCUAACUACGUG
This 467-nucleotide ribosomal RNA is filed under the name uncultured bacterium. RNAcentral's name for it is "partial 16S ribosomal RNA". It matches the Rfam family "Bacterial small subunit ribosomal RNA", at positions 29 to 507 of the family's 1533-position model. The record is from RNAcentral.